RNAcentral lists this ribosomal RNA (465 nucleotides) under Vreelandella stevensii. RNAcentral describes it as "partial 16S ribosomal RNA". It matches the Rfam family "Bacterial small subunit ribosomal RNA", at positions 338 to 795 of the family's 1533-position model. Lineage: Bacteria; Pseudomonadati; Pseudomonadota; Gammaproteobacteria; Oceanospirillales; Halomonadaceae. The record is from RNAcentral.
CCUACGGGUGGCAGCAGUGGGGAAUAUUGGACAAUGGGCGAAAGCCUGAUCCAGCCAUGCCGCGUGUGUGAAGAAGGCCUUCGGGUUGUAAAGCACUUUCAGUGGGGAAGAAAGCCUUGGGGCUAAUACCCUCGAGGAAGGACAUCACCCACAGAAGAAGCACCGGCUAACUCCGUGCCAGCAGCCGCGGUAAUACGGAGGGUGCGAGCGUUAAUCGGAAUUACUGGGCGUAAAGCGCGCGUAGGCGGUCUGAUAAGCCGGUUGUGAAAGCCCCGGGCUCAACCUGGGAACGGCAUCCGGAACUGUCAGGCUAGAGUGCAGGAGAGGAAGGUAGAAUUCCCGGUGUAGCGGUGAAAUGCGUAGAGAUCGGGAGGAAUACCAGUGGCGAAGGCGACCUUCUGGACUGACACUGACGCUGAGGUGCGAAAGCGUGGGUAGCAAACAGGAUUAGAUACCCCAGUAGUC